UCUGAGACCGGCGCACGGGUGCGUAACGCGUAUGCAAUCUACCUUUCACAGAGGGAUAGCCCAGAGAAAUUUGGAUUAAUACCUCAUAGUAUAAUUGAGUGGUAUCACUUAAUUAUUAAAGAUUUAUCGGUGAAAGAUGAGCAUGCGUCCCAUUAGCUAGUUGGUAAGGUAACGGCUUACCAAGACAGCGAUGGGUAGGGGCCCUGAGAGGGGGAUCCCCCACACUGGUACUGAGACACGGACCAGACUCC
This 251-nucleotide ribosomal RNA is filed under the name uncultured bacterium. Its description in RNAcentral is "partial 16S ribosomal RNA". It matches the Rfam family "Bacterial small subunit ribosomal RNA", at positions 88 to 339 of the family's 1533-position model. The record is from RNAcentral.